GUGUUGUAUGAAAGGAGAGAAGGUUAGCACUCCGUUGACAGGGAUGGAAGAGGCACUUGGGCCUAACAACACGCAUAUGGUUAAGGCUUUCCCACCUACUUCCUGGCAUCUAACCACUGUUUUUU
Cricetulus griseus (Chinese hamster) is the source of this 125-nucleotide small nuclear RNA. Lineage: Eukaryota; Metazoa; Chordata; Mammalia; Rodentia; Cricetidae. The record is from Ensembl.